AAAAGCUGCAGCAAAAGCAAAAGGGGAGUUUUGCUUGUAGAAACACCACAGGUCUCUUGUCUGCUCUCGGAAUGUUUUUGAGAUAAACCAGAUUUUAAAAAACAAAGGGAAAAAAAAAAACCACAGCUGCUUCUUUUGCUCUCUUCCUACUUUCUUGUGCUUUGCCCCUCCCCUUUCCCAGGUGAUUGGGUUUGGGUGCUGGGCGGGGCCGAAUGGUAUAUGAGCCCCAGGCAUGCUAUCAGAGAGCUCCUUCUGCUUGGGCUGCUCUUUGGGGUGCUUUGUGCGGUCGUGGACAGGAAAGGGAAAUCCUCGUGUCGCGGAGCAGUGAGGGAAGGUGGGUGUUGUCAGCCUGCACAGUGGUUCUUUUGUCCUUUUGUGUUCCCAGGUGGCGUGGGUGAUGCUGGCCACUCCUUUCAAGCUUGGACCUAAUUUGCAGGUCCAGAGGCAAGUGGUCUGCUGUUUUGAAAGGAUAAAAGUAAAGCUGGGGUCGCUUAUGUUGUUGAGGGAUGGGUGCUACUGCUGGCAGAUAAAUGUUUAUCUUCUGCCUGUGUCUUUCCUUUGUUCAGGUUGAAAUGCAGUUCGCAGUGUAGGACGUCUCAACCCGAGCUGUCUCUGCAGUGAUGACUCUGGUGUGUGAUGAGCAGAGGUAACUUGUUUUUGGGGUGCGGUUGUCACUGCAGUUAUUUUCUUACAUGCAGUAGAGUAAAAUUCCAGUUUGCCUUUUAGAGGUGCUAUAAGUGGGUAAAGAGAAGAGAUGGAAGCAUGUGCCAUGUGGGGCAGGCAAGCGGCUGAGGUACAGGAGGGGAUGAGAGUAUGUGAUUUUUUUCUGGGGAUGAAAUGGAAUUGAUUAUUUUGGUGUAUAAUCUGUUCUGCUCCUGGAUUUUUCUUUCAAUGUGAAUAAAAGUUUGAGCUAAUUCCA
Molecule: long non-coding RNA, 919 nt
Filed under: Anas platyrhynchos platyrhynchos (common mallard)
Lineage: Eukaryota; Metazoa; Chordata; Aves; Anseriformes; Anatidae
Description: lncRNA (ENSAPLG00000026212.1)
Source: RNAcentral